GUGAGUGAUCACUGUCCUGAUAUCCAGAAGCUCUUUGUCUAAUCCGAAGUGAGUCUCUGUCCUGAUAUCCAGAAGCUCUUUGUCUAAUCCGAGGUGAGUCUCUGUCCUGAUAUCCAGAAGCUCUUUGUCUAAUCCGAGGUGAGUCACUGUCCUGAUAUCCAGAAGCUCUUUGUCUAAUCCGAGGUGAGUCACUGUCCUGAUAUCCAGAAGCUCUUUGUCUAAUCUGAGGUGAGUCACUGUCCUGAUAUCCAGAAGCUCUUUGUCUAAUCUGAGGUGAGUGAUCACUGUCCUGAUAUCCAGAA
Molecule: long non-coding RNA, 302 nt
Organism: Oncorhynchus tshawytscha (Chinook salmon)
Lineage: Eukaryota; Metazoa; Chordata; Actinopteri; Salmoniformes; Salmonidae
Source: Ensembl